Molecule: long non-coding RNA, 3846 nt
Organism: Lytechinus pictus (painted urchin)
Lineage: Eukaryota; Metazoa; Echinodermata; Echinoidea; Temnopleuroida; Toxopneustidae
Exons: 3
Source: RefSeq, a predicted model, not a curated record
GGUUCCGCCAUUUGAAAAAAAACGUUCGUAACUGCUCAGCUGAACCCGAAGCUUGAUGAAGAAGGCCGUCAAUAUUUCAACAAAAACUAACAGAAUAUGGAUCAGAUUCGGACAACGACUUCUUAAGACAUUCACACAACAGGCUAAACAAUUCAAAGAGGGAUCUCUGGAUGAUCGAGCAGCAAGUCCAGCAUUAUGUGGGAAAGAUACUACAGGUGUACACAGAAAAGGCCAUGUUCUUGUACAAGACACGGUUGGAGUUCAUAAAAGAUUAAGCUGCCUCGUGCUAUACAGACUUGGAUAAAAACAAGCUGUCCAAUGAAUGGUGACUACUCAAGAGGAGCCAGAAAGUCAACUAAAGCCAGGGUAUUUUGGGAGUUGAUAUGGCCGGGGAAGGGGGGAGGGGGGGUUUCCAGGGCCCCCCCCCUUCCUUGAGAUCUUGACCGCACAAUCGCGUCUAACAUUGGCACAUGGGUUGUCUAGGGCAUAAUUUACAAAAUUAAAUUGUAAAUUAUUUCACGCAAAUUGUUAGUAAGUGAUAAUACUAAUUUAUGCGUAAUUAGAAUACAAAAUCAUACUUUUUCCUCUAUUGCAUUGACUUUGUACACAAAAUCACGUUUUUUAGCAAUUUUUGGUAUGACAUGUACUUACAUAAUGUCACGUUAUUACAGAACCACGUACCGGGUGACACAAGAUUGGUCUCAAAAGAUGCACAAGACUAGAAAGAGGCAUGUUUUAAAAAAAUUGUGCGACAGCAUGGUCGCCAAAUUUUUGGAAGGGGGGGGGGGUCAAAUUGGUCCAAUUUAACUAAGGGUUAAUAACUGGGAGGCUGUUAGCUGCCUUUUUACUUUCAAGUCUUGCACAUCUUUUGAGACCAAAUUUGUGAUGCCUGGGUACGCUGUUCCGAAAUUUCGCAACAUUUUUAUGUAUUAAUCCAACACAAAUACUGUUUCUUGCUAAAAAUUCACAAUUAGUAUACCAGUAAUAUACAUUUAUCAAGUCAAAUUAUUUAAUUACAUUUAUAAUCAUAAAAGCUUUGAUAAAGUAUAAAAAAAAACAAAGAGUUGUAUGUAGGCCUGGGACUUUCGGGUUUUUUUUCUCUUCGGGUACCCGUGGUAAUUUUCGGGUGGGUACCUGAAAAUCAUGUCACUUGAAAUAUGACUGGUGGAAAAACCCCAUAGGUGACGUCAUCAAGCCAAUGCGAUGCAAGCCAAUUUAUGAAUGAAAAUAUAGUAAGCAUGCGCAUUGCAAGCCUCCCGUGCCCCACGCAGUAUUCCAUCGAAACAAGUUUCAAUACUCUGUCACCUCGUACCAAAAUCGACCUAGAAUUCCACUUUCCUAUAUAUCAUAUGAAUUAUAAAAGGUUUUCUCACCGAUACUGCACAGGUAAGCAAAUUUUUAUUCUUGCUUUUCCGUCAAAAUCUUACGAAGUAGCAUCGAUAUUACAUCGUGUUCGUGAGUUUGUAUCGCUACGUGAACAAAGUCAAUUGAUUUCCGGGUUUCGGAGCGUCAAAUGCGCCAGCCAAUCACGAUCGUGUUCCCAUUUUCGGUUUAUGAUGAACUAAAAAUGGUAACAAGAACGUGAUUGGCUGGUGCUUCGUAGGUCGAUUUUGGUAUGAGGUGACAGAGUAUUGCAGACUUGUUUUGACGUAAUACUGCGUGGGGCUGAGGCUUGCAAUGCGCAUGCUUACUAUAUUUUCAUUCAUAAAUUGGUUUGCGUCGCAGUGGCUGGAUGACGUCACUGCGCUGCAAAAGAAACAUGGCGAUGAUUGAACGAUCUCGGUCACAUCAUCAUCACUUGAAAACUUGUAUAUUUAUGGAUAUUUAGAGGGUAAUUGGUGAAAUUCAAAAUGAGGCUUGUGUACUUUUGUAAUGAGUUACAAUCAUGUCUUACACUACGCAAUACAAAUCAAAUACAUGUACAUUAUACUGGUGAGCAAUUUUCGGGUAUCGGGUAUUGAUUUUUCUACUCGGGUACCCGGGUUUUAGUCCCAGCCCUAGUUGUAUGAAAAUUUUCAAAAAUAAUGAAAGGUAAAAGAAAACAAGAUUACAAUGUCCAUUGCAAGGGGGCUAGUCUAGCUAUUCAGGAUAAUUGGGAUUUUAUUCAGUUUUUAAUUGACAUAACAUUAUGACAAGAUCCCUCCAUUUAGUGUAUAAACAGCACAUGGCCAUGAUUGAAAUUCAUAUAACAUUAAAGUAUGCAAACCAGGCAGCUACAUGUACAUGUAGGACUCACUGCUUGUCAAUUCUAUUGUCUGCCAGGGUCAAGUGACAUACAGUGCACAUGUAUAACAUGUGUGAAAGUACAUAAGAAAAUCAGCUUUUUAUUUUUGUACUGUAACAUUGGGUGAACUGGUGAUCACUUUGGAUAUGAUGCUCUUCAUAUUGGUUUAUUUUAUGUAUAUGAAUUUUUGGAUAAUCAUUAAGAAUUAAAGCCAUUUACUUAAUAUAUGGAAGCAUAAGCCCAUCAAAGAACAGAAUUAUGUCAUGUACAGCUAAUUCAUUUUGCGUGAUAUUACAAUUGUAAUUGUUUACUUGAGCAAGUAAUUUGAAUUGCUGCAUGACCUAAACAAUGACAUGUUCCAAUUCGAAUAGUAACAUGACCUAAAGAAGAGUUACUCCACCUCGAUUGAGAGUGCUUAUGUUAAAUAAUUGAUGUUGCUACUUCAAAUAAUUGAGGUCAAUCAAAUUGGUCAUAAUUAUUCAAGUCAAUUUUGAGCUAUAUGUCAUAAUUAAUUAGGUCAUAUACUAAUUGAAAUUACUAAAUGACUCGAGUAGGUAUGAAUUCACAUUGCCACAUGACCUUAAUUAUUUUAUGUAGCAACAUCAAGUAUUGAACGUCAUUUAGUUAUCAAUUAUGACAUGUAGCAAAUCAAAUUACAUGCCGCAAUUUCGUGUUUAUGAUGGGCUCAUGCUUACAUUCAUAUAUAACCCUUCAAUACGUAGUUGGAGCAAUUCUUAGACAAGAAGACUGUGUAAAAUGAUAUGCCUAUUCAAUGUCAAAAAGGUUAAUGUCUCAAUAGAUUUGAUCUACGUUUUGGCAAAGUAAUCUUAUGUUCAUAUUUUUUCUAACCUAUGGUGAACGUUCUAAAUCAUGUGAAAUUCAUUCAAAAAUAUCUUUCAGUAUUUAUGGACUUAAGUGAAUUCUGAGCAAAAUGAAGUGAUUAUGAUUACGUUCAUGUACUUUAAGUUUAUACUGGUGAUCAACACAUCAUAAUUUCAUCCCUUACUGUAUGUGCACCAUGCAUUAUCUGUACAUGCAGAAGUGGUUAUCCAUUGUUUCAUAACAUGGUUGAGUAAAGGAUGUUCUGCUUUUAGUAUUAAGCCAAUCGGGUGUUGACAAGAAGGGGAAAAUGCAAUUGCCCAGCUAUUACAGUUUUUUUUGCAACCAUAAUACUGGUUAAGCCUUGGUUACAUUCGCCGGCUCGUGGCCUUACGUCGAGUCAAAAUUAACAGUCUUAAUCAUCCUUGUACCAGCUACUACCAGCUACACGUGGGUGGUUUGUACAGGAAUACCUAAAACUGCUGAUUUUGUCUCGCCGUAAGGCAACCGGUCAAGGAAUGUGACCAAGGUAUUAAUAAUAAUCGCUUAUUGUUGUGUUAGAGGGAAGGAUUCUGGGUCGAAUCUAGCUUUCUUUAUGUGAUCUCAAAAUGGCAGCAAUGUAUGAAUAGUGAAAGUAGUUCAUGUGGCAUCUCAAUGUUCAUGGAUAUAAAUCUUUGUACAUGUCUUAUCCUAAAGAUGAAAUGUUACUGCAUUAUUCUAGCAGUCAUUUAUGAUAUCAAAGAUGUUCUAUACUGUGCAUAGUACAGCUCAUACAUAAUAAAGGUAUGUGAAUAUGCUUUUAA